AGUGAACGCUGGCGGCGUGCCUAACACAUGCAAGUCGAACGCGAAAGUCCCGCAAGGGAUAAGUAGAGUGGCAGACGGGUGAGUAAUGCAUAGGUAAUCUACCCUUGAGUGGGGGAUAACUCCGGGAAACCGGUGCUAAUCCCGCAUAAUGUCCUGAUGCACAAGUAUCUGGACCAAAAGGGGGGAUCCUUCGGGACCUCUUGCUUGAGGAUGAGCCUAUGUCCUAUUAGCUAGUUGGUGAGGUAAUGGCCCACCAAGGCUAUGAUGGGUAGCCGAGCUGAGAGGCUGAUCGGCCACACUGGAACUGAAACACGGUCCAGACUCCUACGGGUGGCAG
Molecule: ribosomal RNA, 337 nt
Filed under: uncultured Nitrospirota bacterium
Lineage: Bacteria; Pseudomonadati; Nitrospirota
Description: bacterial SSU rRNA
Rfam family: Bacterial small subunit ribosomal RNA
Source: RNAcentral